UACGGAGGGUGCGAGCGUUGUUCGGAAUCACUGGGCGUAAAGCGCGUGUAGGCGGCCUCUUAAGUCCGAUGUGAAAGCCCGGGGCUCACCCCCGGAAGUGCAUCGAAUACUGGGAGACUCGAGUACCGGAGAGGAAAGUGGAAUUCCUGGUGUAGCGGUGAAAUGCGUAGAUAUCAGGAGGAACACCGGUGGCGAAGGCGGCUUUCUGGACGGAUACUGACGCUGAGACGCGAAAGCGUGGGGAGCAAAC
Molecule: ribosomal RNA, 250 nt
Filed under: uncultured bacterium
Lineage: Bacteria
Description: partial 16S ribosomal RNA
Rfam family: Bacterial small subunit ribosomal RNA
Source: RNAcentral